This is an RNA transcript of Patella vulgata (common limpet), 2170 nucleotides long. RefSeq lists it as uncharacterized. The record is from RefSeq and is a predicted model, not a curated record. The transcript has 7 exons. Lineage: Eukaryota; Metazoa; Mollusca; Gastropoda; Patellidae.
CUACUUCCGGCGGAGCGAAUUUGAGGAGUUGAGGAGUUGAGACUAAAACAAACAUGUACUACGUAGUGUAGGAUGUAAACAUGGAUUUAGUUUACAAGGGACAAGAACAACAUUGGUUAACUAGAAAUUUGAAAAAAGAUGAUAAAGAUCAUUAUCUGUGUCCUCUGUGUCCAGCUGCUGGAAACAAGAAGCUUUCCAUAUUUAAACCAACACCUUUAGUUCAGCAUGUUAUAACACAUUUUGAAACUUACCAUCUUCGAAACAGAGUAGAUCAUAAAGAACUUGUUUUUCUACCAUGUUAUUUGGAUUGUGUCAAAGGACGAAUAAAUUAUUGCUCUGUCUUUCAUUACCACUGUUCUUGUGGCCAUGUCUUCACUCCAAAAAACAAAAUGAUUUCCCACUUAAAAAUUUGUCGUGACCAUAGAACUGCUGAUGAAAUAGAAUAUGGAGUUGAAAUUGAAAUAAAUCCUGUUUCUAGAGGAGAAUUACCUGAUGACAGUCAGAAGUCAAUAACGUUUGAGGAUAUAAAUGUAAAGAUUGGUGAAGAAAAUAAAUGGUUCGAUAAAAAUGUAAGAAGAUGGAAAGACAAAUACCAAUGUCCUUUAUGCCCUGCCUAUAAAAUUGGACUCAAAUCUCUGAAACUGAUUAAAAUGCAUUGGAGACAGGUUCAUUUACAUCAUGUCAUUAAAGGACAAGGUGUGGAGGUUAUUUGAUUGUUGAUUUCACGUUUCUACUUUCUCAAGCUGGAAAGUAUAAAACUAGAAAAACAGCUGUUGAUUUAGGGAGUGCCGCAAAAUUUCAGCACUUGCAUCCAAACUAAUUACCUGUGGAUAAAUCUUGACUCACCUGUCAAUCUGCACUGAGAGGGUCUGUGUUUUUUGCCUUGUUUCUUUAGAUGCAUAUGUAACCCUUCAUUUAUGGCUAAGGCUCACUACCAUUGUAGCUGUGGUCUUAUAAAAGAAGGAAAGAUUAAUUUUUUAAGCCACCUGAGAUGUGGAGAAGGUCAUGAGGAUGAUGUUGACGACAUGGAAGAAAAGGAUACUUUCGAAGGGCUGGAAUGGAGCGAUGUUAAUAUACCUGAAGGAAAGGAAGUGGACUGGUUAAAAGAAAAUGCAGUUAAAACAGUAGCUCAAUCUUUGUUUGUCUGUGCUUUAUGUGCAUCAAAGACGUUUGAACCCUGUACUAAUACACAGCUUAGGAUGCACUGGAAAAGAAAACAUGUAAAGCUUAAAGUUGCACAUAGAGGUAUAGCAUACAUGCCCUGUUAUUUUCCUUGCUGUAUACAAUGGGAACACAGAGCACAAUAUCAACCGGGGAAAAAAGCACAUUAUCAUUGCAGCUGUGGUAAAUUUAUUUUCCGUAAGCCAAAGAUGAAAACUCAUUUAGAAUUCGGCGAAGAACAUCAGCCAGGUUAUAAACUAAAAUCUGAAAACAUUGAUCAUGUGUAUAACAAACCUGUUGAACAGGAAGAUAAACUCAAACCUGAUAAACAGGUAGAUAAACUCAAACCUGAUAAACAGAAAGAAAAAACAAAACCCAAACCUGAUAAGCAGAAAGAAAGGCCUGAAGCUAAAUCGGUUCAAACACAUACUUUUGUAGAUUGUGGUACUUGUCCAGGAUGUUUUGCAGAUUUCGCUAAGAGUUACCUCUCCAGACACUUAAAGAGUUGUAAGAAAUACCAGAGUGAUCUCGCCAGUGGACUUACUUGUAGUAUUAAGUUAAAUAAAGCAGCAAAUAUUAAAAAGAUUGUUAAGAUAAGGACAAUGAGAGCAAAACAAAUAAACAUGCCCUCAAAAGUUAACAACAGAUAAUUAAUCUGUUGAGGAACAUAGUGAAAUAAUGGAGGAUAUUUUGAUGACUAUUUAUGACGACUCCCCGCCCAAAAAUCCUGUCGUGCAAAACCACCAUCAUCUAAAUAGUUUCUCUGCACCAAAUCUAUCUUGAUAGCACAAACAUGUUAAAGGUUUAUUGAAAAUGCAGUACAGUUUUUCUUAAGUGAUGUACAAUACAGUUUACUAGCACACUGUGUUUCUACAUUAAAUGGUUCUGUUUGUGUUAAAAUAGGAUCAUAAAACCUUGCAAGGGAAGAAUUAGAAGGGUUUAUGUACCGUUGCAUUUUAACAUGAAUAUACGAUGUUUUGUAUGUAUAAAAAUCAGUUUUGAUUACACA